RNAcentral lists this long non-coding RNA (202 nucleotides) under Elaeis guineensis (African oil palm). RNAcentral's name for it is "long non-coding RNA (EGUI_LNC054323)". The record is from RNAcentral. Lineage: Eukaryota; Viridiplantae; Streptophyta; Magnoliopsida; Arecales; Arecaceae.
UCCGGAUAUCGAGUAUCAUUGCUAGAUGGUCACUUUGAUUGGUAUAGAAAAAUUUUGUUGAAAAUUAUAUCCUAAAGCUAAUCAUUUGACGAUUGUGCUAAUUAUAAAUGUAUAUGAAUUGAUAAAUAAUAAAAGUUAUUUGAUAUUUUUCAUCACAAGGAUACAUCUUCUAAUGAACUCCUAUAUUGUGAUAAAGUCCUUA